Long non-coding RNA from Corvus hawaiiensis (hawaiian crow), 2637 nucleotides. RefSeq lists it as uncharacterized. The transcript has 2 exons. The record is from RefSeq and is a predicted model, not a curated record. NCBI's taxonomy places the organism in Eukaryota, Metazoa, Chordata, Aves, Passeriformes, Corvidae.
GGGAGCGGGAGAGAUGCUUGCUGGUGUUUCAGCAGAGGCUCCUGCCAAGAAGCAGACACUGCCCUUGACAGAUCAUUGAGAGCUGGUAGGAAGACACGCGCUUGCACUGGACUGUGAACCUCCCUCCCAAGCCAGGACACCUGCAGGAGGAGGAAAGCUCUGCUGGCCUGCUCAGGGAGUACAACACGAUGGCAUUUACACCUCGGUGGAUCUUUCCUAGGUUGUGGGGUGGGAAUGGGCAGGACAAGGGCUUGCAAUGGCAUGUCCUGCCUGUGGGAUAGCCUUUCACGAGGGAGAGCAGACCUACUGAGGCAGCUGAACCCAAGCUGAUGUUCCUUGUAGGUCCCCUCCAACUGAAUUAUUCUAAAUCUACUUCUGUUUUCACCACCCAUCACCCAGAACCAGAGUUUUGCCUGUAGCAGUCAAAUGUCUUCACAUGAAGUCCUACGUGGUCCAAGGAGCUGCAUUAUCCCCUCACCGCAUCGCGUGUGGGAAGUGUGAAAAGGCAGCAAAAAGGCAGCAAAGGAAAGAAAGCCAGGAAGGGAAUUGCAGUGGUCUGCUGAGAUGCCCAAGGAUCCUCCUGACGCAGGAGGAGCUACAGCAGCUCUCCUGUCACAGGAAGCUGUUCACCUGACCACUGAUGGUCCUCAUUUUCCCCAAUCUACCCUUAAAAGCCCUCUAAAAGCCCCAGCUCUUCCAGUCUGGGGAAUACAUGAAAUGUGGGAUGUAUUAGAUGCAUUAAGCAAUAGCAGCAAACUUAUAGAAAACAGGAAAAUCAACAGCAACAACAACGAAAAAGGAAUCUUGAAAUUUGGCAGAAAAAAUGCAGUGCAAACCCCACAAGAACAUAUCUUUGCACAAAGCCACUUACGGAUGCAUUCCUUAAAGGUAAUCCCUUCAGACAGAGUGAGGCUGCCAUUUCUUUGAAAGAUAUUAAAGCAGCUGUUGCUAGAACAGAGAGAAUUACUGAGCUAUCUGUCAAGGGAUGGACAUUUGUAGGGCUAUAUCUACUUUUUUUUUAAUUUAUAGUUUAUUUUGAUACCAGUUUUCCAGCUACUGAAGGUAAUUGAGACAGCAAACAAAAUCUCACUAUCGACUGAUCUGCCAAAUCAAAUUUUUUCUCCUGUAAGUAUAGUGUUUUUCCUUAGCUUCAGAGAGGAAAAGAAUUAUGCGGAAUGAAUAAGAAAGAAAAGGGAUUAGUUUAUAUAAUGACCAUAGCAGCCAUCUCUCCCUUGAUCUGUCGUAGUUCACUCUCGAAGAUGGGAAUGAUUAUUAUUGUAAUUUAGAACAGAGCUUGUUCAUUUUCCUUCUGCUGCAUCUGCUUACUACUCUCCAAAUUAAUACAUAUUUUAAUAAAAACUAAAUAUCUUGACUAUAGCUGGGAUAUUGGAUGAUCCCAGCUGGAAUAUGGAUGGAGCAAGAUUUUUAUCACCUUUUGUUCCCCUCGUGGAAUGACUGUGCACUGCCCUCGUCCUUGAAAGGAAUUAAAGUAGCCAUGAGGUUAUUUUGAUGACUUCUGGCUACCAGAGGCCUCAAAAGAAGGCAUCUAAGGCAGUAAAAUAGCAGCUAUGUGUCUCCUGUGCUGUUUUCAAGCAGUGUGAUGCUUCUGAGGGAUCUCCAGGAGCUCUCUGUCACUGGAGCAGCUCCCUGCUCCAUGGUGGUCCUCCCACACCCAGCACCAGGGCUGGAUGGGUGUUGCAGUAGGAAUGGGCUAAGGGAGCUGAGCUUCCCUCGUGUUUUUUUCACUAGCUAAUGUCAGAAAAUAGAAUGUUUCUAUCUGCCUUCAAAAUGACAGUGGAUUUUUGCUCUCUUUGGGGACUACUUGCACUCCCAUGGACCUGUCCCAUCCGUCUGAUGCUCCUGUACUAUGGUAAUCAAAUUUGAUGCCAACGCGGCAACUGGGCUUUCCUCCUUCUCUCUUUUCUGCACUGAGAUUUUCACUGGUCUCAACUCUUACUGAGAGGUUUUUUUAAACCAAAGAGUUGAAGAUGAACUAUUUCAUAUGCUUGUUCUCCUGAAGUUGCUUUAACACUUUUGUAGCUCUAAGGUGAGCCAAUUCACCCCUAAAAUCCAGGUAUUCACACCUAAUCACUCCAGCACAAUGCUCCCCCAAGGUGGGAAAGCAGCCUUGAGGUGACAGCUCUGCAGCAUUUUGGGGAACUCAGGAUUAGUAAUGGGAUUUAACUCUGCAGAACUCAUACAAAACUCACAGAGACUGUCCUUCACUUCAAAACAUCUGUUAAUUCUACUUGAGUGCUCAUCAUCGAAAGACUGCCUAUAUUUUUCCUUUCAGGUUUGCGAAAAUAAGCACUGGUGAAUGAAGAUGAAAGAGAAAUGUUGCUGGUUUCUUCCCUGGAGAUCGUAUUUCUUACUUGUUGCAUAACUGCUUAUUUUAGCAUCAAUCAGCCAAGCCUUUGUUGUGCAGACAAUUCUGUCCUUUUAAAGGAUUUGUGCAGUAUUGUUUCUUCCAAAAUGCUUUUUUUUUGUUUUUAUAAUUAGAUUUAUUUCCUCUCUUAGCAAAUGCCAACUGACAACAGCCUGUCAAAGCUCUUCGUAAGUGUUACAUAAAUGUCAUACUAUGUAAACUGAGUGUUGUAUGUAACAUAUACAUGACCUUUCUGGAGAACCAUCCAUCAA